RNAcentral lists this transfer RNA (69 nucleotides) under Macrotermes subhyalinus (Mendi termite). Its description in RNAcentral is "tRNA-Cys". Lineage: Eukaryota; Metazoa; Arthropoda; Insecta; Blattodea; Termitidae. The record is from RNAcentral.
GGUCUUGUAUUCAUUUUGUGAUUAUAGAAUGCAAUUCUAUAGGGGUGGGUUGAGUUCUUACCAAGGCCU